RNAcentral lists this ribosomal RNA (575 nucleotides) under uncultured bacterium. RNAcentral's name for it is "bacterial SSU rRNA". It matches the Rfam family "Bacterial small subunit ribosomal RNA", at positions 338 to 915 of the family's 1533-position model. The record is from RNAcentral.
CCUACGGGAGGCAGCAGUGAGGAAUAUUGGACAAUGGGCGCAAGCCUGAUCCAGCCAUGCCGCGUGCAGGAAGACGGUCCUAUGGAUUGUAAACUGCUUUUAUACAGGAAGAAAUACUUUCUCGUGAGAGAGCUUGACGGUACUGUAAGAAUAAGGAUCGGCUAACUCCGUGCCAGCAGCCGCGGUAAUACGGAGGAUCCAAGCGUUAUCCGGAAUCAUUGGGUUUAAAGGGUCCGUAGGCGGUUUAAUAAGUCAGUGGUGAAAUCUGGUCGCUCAACGAUCAAACGGCCAUUGAUACUGUUAGACUUGAAUUAUUGUGAAGUAACUAGAAUAUGUAGUGUAGCGGUGAAAUGCUUAGAUAUUACAUGGAAUACCAAUUGCGAAGGCAGGUUACUAACAAUGGAUUGACGCUGAUGGACGAAAGCGUGGGGAGCGAACAGGAUUAGAUACCCUGGUAGUCCACGCCGUAAACGAUGGAUACUAGCUGUUGGGCGCAAGUUCAGUGGCUAAGCGAAAGUGAUAAGUAUCCCACCUGGGGAGUACGUUCGCAAGAAUGAAACUCAAAUGAAUUGAGG